This 403-nucleotide ribosomal RNA is filed under the name bacterium. RNAcentral describes it as "partial 16S ribosomal RNA". It matches the Rfam family "Bacterial small subunit ribosomal RNA", at positions 355 to 776 of the family's 1533-position model. The record is from RNAcentral.
UGGGGAAUAUUGCACAAUGGGGGAAACCCUGAUGCAGCGACGCCGCGUGAACGAAGAAGGUAUUCGUAUCGUAAAGUUCUGUCCUAUGGGAAGAUAAUGACAGUACCAUAGAAGAAAGCUCCGGCUAAAUACGUGCCAGCAGCCGCGGUAAUACGUAUGGAGCGAGCGUUGUCCGGAAUUAUUGGGCGUAAAGGGUACGCAGGCGGUUUAAUAAGUCGAAUGUUAAAGAUCGGGGCUCAACCCCGCAAAGCAUUGGAAACUGAUAAACUUGAGUAGUGGAGAGGAAAGUGGAAUUCCUAGUGUAGUGGUGAAAUACGUAGAUAUUAGGAGGAAUACCAGUAGCGAAGGCGACUUUCUGGACACAAACUGACGCUGAGGUACGAAAGCGUGGGCAGCAAACAGG